Molecule: non-coding RNA, 83 nt
Organism: Notechis scutatus (mainland tiger snake)
Lineage: Eukaryota; Metazoa; Chordata; Lepidosauria; Squamata; Elapidae
Source: RefSeq, a predicted model, not a curated record
CUUCUGGAGGACUGAAAAAGUUGAAGAAGGAAUCAUUGGAAACUGUUUUUGUCACUGUUCUAACUCUUCCACGGCCUUGUGCU